AAUUUGUUAGUUAUUUUUACCUCUGAAACUAUCUAGGAGCUAACCUUUAUUAAUGUAAGUCUUCACAGAAUAUAUUUUGAUUAUGAGUCGUUUUCUGCAGUUCAUCAAGUAAAAUUUCGGUGCAAAAUAUAAACGACGAUAGAGACAGAUAGAGACAAAUAAAGACACUAAUGGAUUGGAUUUGGUCAUAAUGCCUAAUAAGGCGUGGUGGCACACUGAAGACGGCUUAUAGCCGAAACACGUUCUCUAGCUUACAUUAGUAAUGGUUUAGCAGAGAAGAUUGAGGAUAUUUGAGUUAAGUUAAAAUGUAUUUCUUAUAAUUUAUAUAUACAUUUUUUGCUUUUUUAUAUUUACUUCCCAUUUCCCUUCCAUAUAAUACUUAUGCCCAUAUAACAUUUCCCCAAAAGUGAAUUGCCAAUGAAAAUUUAACCAUAUAGCUGAAAUUAAAGGAUUGUUUAAACGGAACAAAAAUGUCGUAGAUAAUAAUUAGAAUGGGACGUCACUAGCCUAGUUGAAAAUACUUAAUUAUAGUCGUCCGUGUAUACGAGCGUUUCGCUUGAGUGCCGAAAAAAAUCAUUCAUUAAUACGUAUUAAUCGUCGUUUGACGUGAAUAUAAAACUGGUAUUGAAAACGGUCAUUUAUUUUAAUAUUGCAUAUCCGACACGCCUAAACCUCUAGGCGCGUGCUUAACGAACGGAAAUAUUUAUUUUUCUCCGAUGGAGCUUAUCGGAAAAAAAUGCUGGAGUGCAUUGUUUAAUGAGUACAUGGUCACCAGAUAAAAUUGUAAAGUGAUGUAUUUCGGGAAACUGUUCGUCAUAGAGGGGUAAAAAUUUGUUGGGCAAAAGAAGAGGGCCAGUGGGCGUAACUGACAUUGGCAAGUUUUAACAUGGCAACGGAUGAAUUUUAGUGGGUACCCAAACAUGCGUUGCUAUGGAAAUCUGCCAACACAGUCAAUUUUUAUUGGUUAAAAACUACUGCUGUGAAAAUUUCUUCCCGAUUACCACACGAUGUCAAAUUGAAUCCGGAAUUUUUUUCUAGCUUAUGAAUAUUUUCAAAAUUAUGCUGAGUCGAAGAAGACGAAAAAAUUUCCGGAAAUAAUUUGAACUCUAGUGGUAUUACUAGUGAAAAUUCAUUCAUAUGCAGGGAAUCCUUCCUUGUGGUAAUUAAAAAGAAAUGAAAUUCGUCAUGGGAAGGACGGCAUUAGUAAUGCUUUAGUCGAUACAUGAUGACAUUGGAAACUAACCAAAACCAUCAAGAUCCGAUAGGACAUAAUUUUAACACUUUGAAUUUAGUUAUUUAAAGUAAUGCAUGGUAUAUUUACUAAAAAUACAGCAACUUGUGUCGAUUUAGUGAUAAAUUCUGGCCCUAGGUAGAACGGUAAAGUAAACCAAAAUCUAAAUUUCAAAUUUUUAAAGUAUGCUUUGACAGACAUUGGAAAACGUACGAAAGAUAUAUCUAAGUAUAAAUACUCCCUGUUAUUAAUACUAAAAAAUCAAUUUAAAGCCCGGUAGACAGGAUACAAUUUCUACAUGCAUUUUUUGAUGUAUUUUUUCAUGUAAAUAUUGCAACGUGUCUACUACCAAAUUGCAAGAAAUAAAUAGGUAAAAGGCAAGGUAAAAUUACCAGCUAUUGUUUCCCGAACUUGUGAGUGUAAAUUGGCCGCAAAGCGUUUGUGUUAAUAAACUUACAGUUGAAAUCACAAAAGAUGACUCUUAAAAGUGUAAAUACAACUUCACGAGGUACAAUUUGUUUAAAAACCUAGGUAUUGGAAAAUAUAACCACGACAAUUAAAAACUAUUAUAAAACAAGUCAAUAAACAAUUUAUUAUUAACAAAUCUUUUGGAUUCUUCAGAGAGCAGUUUCAGUUAAGCUCUGAAGAAGCCAACAGGAUGAUUGGCGAAACGUCCGCAAGUUUUAUUCAUACAUAACCGAAGCAGGAGGAAUCCAGAAACUUUGUAAAUGGUAUUACAGUAGUGUGAGAAAGUUUCUUUAAAAAAUUAAUAAACAAUUUGUUUAAGAAACUGUAUGUCAAUAUGUAAC
Cylas formicarius (sweet potato weevil) is the source of this 2040-nucleotide long non-coding RNA. RefSeq lists it as uncharacterized. The record is from RefSeq and is a predicted model, not a curated record. The transcript is spliced from 3 exons. Lineage: Eukaryota; Metazoa; Arthropoda; Insecta; Coleoptera; Brentidae.